CCGAGCAUAAUUUAAAUAAAAUGAUUCGCUUACACCGAACCAAUGUCUGCUAAACCCAAACUGCUCCGCG
Molecule: transfer RNA, 70 nt
Filed under: Pristimantis cruentus (Chiriqui robber frog)
Lineage: Eukaryota; Metazoa; Chordata; Amphibia; Anura; Strabomantidae
Description: tRNA-Val
Source: RNAcentral